AUUGAACGCUGGCGGCAUGCUUUACACAUGCAAGUCGAACGGUAACAGGCCUUCGGGUGCUGACGAGUGGCGAACGGGUGAGUAAUGCAUCGGAACGUACCCAGAGGUGGGGGAUAACGCAGCGAAAGCUGUGCUAAUACCGCAUGUGAUCUGAGGAUGAAAGCGGGGGACCGAGCAGCAAUGUUUGGCCUCGCGCCUUUGGAGCGGCCGAUGUCGGAUUAGCUAGUUGGUGGGGUAAAGGCCUACCAAGGCGACGAUCCGUAGCUGGUCUGAGAGGACGAACAGCCACACUGGGACUGAGACACGGCCCAGACUCCUACGGGAGGCAGCAGUGGGGAAUUUUGGACAAUGGGCGCAAGCCUGAUCCAGCAAUGCCGCGUGCGGGAAGAAGGCCUUCGGGUUGUAAACCGCUUUUGGCAGGAACGAAACGGUGUCCGCUAAUACCGGGCGAUAAUGACGGUACCUGCAGAAUAAGCACCGGCUAACUACGUG
This 492-nucleotide ribosomal RNA is filed under the name uncultured bacterium. RNAcentral describes it as "partial 16S ribosomal RNA". It matches the Rfam family "Bacterial small subunit ribosomal RNA", at positions 29 to 507 of the family's 1533-position model. The record is from RNAcentral.